AAUAACAAAAAGAUUAAAGAAAGUAGCAAAGUCCUUAGAUGAGCUAUCGGAACAAAUAAUUCAAGAACACGAAAGUAAUCCAUAUGAUGAAGAUAAAAAUCGCAAGAUGGACUUUGUGGAUAUUUUGUUGUCACUCAUGCACCAACCUGAGGAUGUUCAAAAUCACCAAGACGCCAUUGAUAGAACAAACGUGAAAGCUAUCAUAUUAGACAUGAUAACUGCGUCAUUUGAGACCUCUUCGUCAACAGUAGAAUGGGCCAUGUCACAACUCUUGAGGCACCCUAAUGUCAUGAAGAGACUUCAACAGGAGCUAGAACAUGUGGUGGGAAUGAAUAGACACGUGGAGGAAAAUGACUUAGAAAAGUUGUCUUAUUUGNACAUGGUGGUGAAGGAAACACUAAGGUUACACCCGGUCGGACCUUUGUUGAUACCUCGUGAGUGUCGAGAAGAUGUCACCAUUGAUGGCUAUUUGAUAAAGAANAAAACAAGGGUUAUGGUAAAUGNUGUCACCAUUGAUGGCUAUUUGAUAAAGAAAAAAACAAGGGUUAUGGUAAAUGCUUGGGCUAUAGGUCGAGAUCCUAAAGUUUGGGACAAGGCCGGGAUUUUCGACCCUUCAAGGUUUGAGAAUAACAAUGUAGAUGUUCGUGGAAAGGACUUUCGAAUUUUACCAUUUGGGUCGGGUCGAAGAGUGUGUCCCGGGAUUCAUAUGGGUUUAACGACGAUUAGUCUUGUUUUGGCUGAAUUAGUGCAUUGUUUUGAUUGGAUGCUUCCAUUGGGCAUGUCCUGUGAUGAGUUAGACAUGGAAGAGAUAUUUGGACUCACCACACCAAGAAAAAAACAUCUAUUAACUAGACCAGUUUAUCGACUACUUGCUUAGGUUAAGAGAGGAUAUUAAUGCAAAGCAAGGUCCAUCUAUAUUUGUGGUCGAUUUCAAUUCUAAUUUGGGAUAUAUGACACAUCAAACAAUAUAAUAAAAUAAUUAAUGCACUGAUGCAUCUAUG
This 1001-nucleotide long non-coding RNA is filed under the name Vigna radiata. RNAcentral describes it as "long non-coding RNA (VRAD_LNC000186)". The record is from RNAcentral. Lineage: Eukaryota; Viridiplantae; Streptophyta; Magnoliopsida; Fabales; Fabaceae.